GAGUCCCUGCCCGGGUCUUCCUGCCUCCACGUGGCGAAGCCGCACCUGAAGCCCCACCUGGUCGCAAAGGCUGGUGCAGGGGAAACCGUUGGUUCAGCUGCGGUUCCUGGGAAGGGGGUGCCGCUCUGAUCACGCGCACUUCUGAUUCCCCUCUCGGGGCUCGGAAGCGGCUGAGGGCUCUGGACCCGGUCUCCGAGGCGUGAGGCGGUGGGAGGGUCGGCGGCCGCGUCCUCCACGACCCUGGGGAGAAGUCCCAGUUUCCGCGCAGCCGACAACGGUUGGACCCCGUCCCUCCGGCUUCACUGGGCACCGUGGGGGCAGAACCCGGCGGCGGCUUGGGGUGGGGGCGGGACCACGAUGGAGGGAGUCUGUUGGGCGGGACCUCGAAAUGCCUCUGCUCGCUUUCCUCUGCAUUCAUGCGGCUUGUACGAGGAUGCGCUGUUUCCUGGUGGUUUGUUAUACGGCAGUAGAUAACUGAUACAUCUCUCUUCACUACUUUGUUUGCGUUUUUAUAGGUCAGGGUCUUCCUCUGUCGCACAGGCUGGAGUGCAGUGGCUCGAUCACGGCUCACGGAAACCUCCAAUCCCUGGGCUCAAGCGAUCUUCCCUCAAAUUCAACAGUAGCUGGAACUACAGGCUCGUGACACCACAGCAGGCUAAUUUUUAAAUUUUUCGUGGAGAUGGGAGGUCACACUAUAUUGCCCAGGCUGGUCGCGAACUCCUGAGCUCAAGCGAUCUUCCCUCUUUGGCGUCCCAAAGAGCUGAGAUUGCAGGAGUUAACCUCACCGAAAGAUACAACCGAUUUAAGAAGAAAAUGUUAAAACUCUCUUCAAGGGCCUAUAGAAGAAACGGGAUGAAUGGAAACGUGAUUCACUCUGUGGACUGGCAGAUACCUCUGGAAAUCUGGUGUUCUAUUGUAAUAAGUUCUCGGGAAGGUAGAGACUUUUAUUUGGGACAUAGAGGCUUGGCCAACCAGAAUGGAGGACCCACCCAAGUCCCGCCCCCAAGCCUGAGCCCUCUCCUUUGCUCCACCCACUCUGCCUGAAGUCCCCUCAACCCCUCCGACUUCGCAGUCUCCCAGCCCGGCCUUCUGGGGCUGGUCUUCAUUGGAAGCCACGCCCCCAGGUCUGUCGGAUAAACAUUUUACAACCUA
This 1152-nucleotide long non-coding RNA is filed under the name Homo sapiens (human). Its description in RNAcentral is "non-protein coding lnc-UBL5-7:6". The record is from RNAcentral. Lineage: Eukaryota; Metazoa; Chordata; Mammalia; Primates; Hominidae.